AUACUUAUUUACUGUACCCACACAUAUUAUAUACCGUUUUUCUCGCCAUUAAAUGGACUUUAUAAAGAUACCAUUAAUUUUUUCAUAGCUUUGUAUUUCCUAUCCAAAAAAAUAUAAAAUAAUUUAAAAAAAAAUCAAAACAAAACAAAAAAACACAAACUAUGUUACGCAUCUACAACCAUCGAAAAACACACAUUCUAUUUAUUUUAUAAAAUGUGACCCUAUUUCCAAAAAAGAAAAUAUUUACAUGUUCUUUGCUUUUUUUCUAUUUCCAAACCAUAUUUUUUUUUUAAUUACCAAUAGUCAGUAUAACCCUGAUAUCGUUCAUGAGUCCCUGAAUAACCCUUGACAUGAUGUAUAUAUUUUUUUGGGAGACAACACAAAAUAUUGAUCUAGGCACAUUUUGGUCUAUUUCAUGCCACCAUUAAACCGUCGAUAUUUAAUAAAAUAAAUAAAAAUGUAAUCUCUUUUUCAAUAGAUGUUUACCAAACUUUAGCUUUCUCACUGAAAACAAAUACAAGCUGCUUGUAAAGUUAUGGCACAAAUGUUUGCAAAGGCUUCUCUGCGAUCCCCUUUGUUAAAAAAUAGCAGACAUAUAGUUUUGUCAUUGCUUUUUGGUCAUUUAAAUGCCACUGCGCACCACACUUGUAUUAUGACCAGCAGUUAAUUAGGCACCUUGUAGGGUUAAUUUUUGCUUUAGUGUAGAGAUCAGCUUCCCACCUGGCACAUCACACCCCCUGAUCCCUCCUUGCCCCCCCCCCUCAAAUAGCUCUCUUCCCUCCCCACUUCACGUAUUGUUAUCACCAUCUUAAGUACAUACUGAAAGUCUGCCAGUAAUAAGGUAAAAGUAAUUUUAUUGUAUAUUUAUUUAGUGUUGGAUCCCCAUUCAGCCCCCAAACUCCCUGAUCCCCCCAUUCAGCUUUCUAACACACCUCACUCUGCCUAUUUUCCACCAUCUUGGGUACUUGCAGCUGUCUACUUCUACCCAGGUUGCACGUGGCAAGAUUAAUUUUUAAAUUAAAAAAAAAUUAUUUGAGAUUUCUUGUUAAAAAAUAUUUAUUUGUAUGAUUUUAAUCAGUUGCCUAAUAAUAAGAUAACUAAAUAAGAAGGCAACUUUAGCACAUAAGAAGAUGGCAGAAUAAUAAACCAACUUCAUCCUCAUAUUUAAUUAAUGUAUUUUAAUAAUACAGACUAUCAUUUUUUAAUAUUAAAUAUUAAAAAUGUAAAUUAUGAUCAUAUGUUUACCUACAGAUGCCAUAUCUAUGAAUUGGCAAGAUCAGCAGAAGUGGAGCAUUUGUUUCCUGAAAUGAUUGCUAAUGUCAUUGAAGGACAAGUUGCAACACUAAUUGAAAAAUAAAAUUCAGUGGCCGAGAAAUAAGGUUUUAGAUUUAAUCUCGUUCUAUGUUGAAUUCAAAGAGAAAUUUGAUUCUCUGAACCUGACCAAAAUCAAGGUUUGGAGACUCAUAGCAGAGAGGCUGAGGGAGGAAUCCUUUCCGGUCUGUAUCGAACAAGUCGAAAGCAAGUGGUGUGGCUUGAAAAAAACAUACAAAUCAGUAAAGGACCACAAUAAAAAGUCAGGAAAUAGUUCACGCUAUUGGGAAUUCUUUGAUGCCAUGGAGGAGGCAAUUGGGAAAAUGCCGGAAAUCGCACCGGUCGCCACCUUGCAAAGCAGCGAACAGAAUGAAGUUUCUGCUUCUACUUCGACCGCAAACAGUUUGGUAACAACUCCCAGUAGCUCACCUCACGAUUCCAAAACUCCUCUUUCAACCCCAAAACAACAAAAUAAAAGAAGUGUUGAAGUAGUAAGUGAUGUACUUUCAGAAUUCCGGGAAGAUUUGAGAAUCAGAAGGGAGGAAAGGAAAGAGGAGAGGAAGCAAUUAUUUUCAUUACUAGAAAAAUUGAUUGAGAAAUAGUCAAAAUAUCCUGUUUGAUAUUUACUCAUUUUUGUUUUGUUUUCCACAGUUAUUUAAAUAAGUUAUAUUAAUAAAAAAAUAAAAAAUAGUUUUUUCAUUAAAAAAAGUUACUUAUUGCAGAUAAA
Molecule: long non-coding RNA, 2038 nt
Organism: Bombina bombina (fire-bellied toad)
Lineage: Eukaryota; Metazoa; Chordata; Amphibia; Anura; Bombinatoridae
Exons: 3
Source: RefSeq, a predicted model, not a curated record